RNAcentral lists this unclassified non-coding RNA (4017 nucleotides) under Hevea brasiliensis (rubber tree). Lineage: Eukaryota; Viridiplantae; Streptophyta; Magnoliopsida; Malpighiales; Euphorbiaceae. The record is from RNAcentral.
UGCAUCAGUUUUUGAAUCAAUUUCAAGAUAAGAGUUGUUAGCGGCCUUGGGCCUUUCAGUAGUUGCUUCUCGAAAUGCUUUUGGAAUUAUUUCUUCCUUGAUACAAUUAAGGUCAGCACCUGUAUCAAAUAGAGCAAUAGUAUCCAAUGGAAAAUCAUCAGAAAUUUUCAAAGUUAUUUUGACCAAAUAUUUUUGGGAAGUGACUUGUUUUAAAAUUGAAAGAAAAUUAUCUGGAACAUCUUGUAGAUUGGCUAGUUGUGGUGUUUCAGUUUCAGGUUCUUGAUUGUCUUCUUCUUCUUUAGAAAAUUUGUUAAGAAGAAGUUGAAUGGCAACAGAGUCUUCCUUCUAUUUGUUUUGGAGUUGCUUGAGUUCAAACUUGAUAGUUUUGAUUUCAGUCUGGAGUUCUUGAAUGGUGGAAGCAGAGGUUUUUGUUUUGGAAGUUUUGGCCUUUUGUAAGAUGACUGUGAGGUCAUAUGGGUUAUUGGCUUUAGAUGGCACAGAAGUAGAAGGGGUUUGAGAAGAUGAUGCCUCAAAAGAAUGUUGAAGCUCGGUGAGAUAUUCUUUCUGAAGUUGAGGGUCUUGGAUGUGUUGAAUAACAUCAAGCAUAAACCUUUGAUCUCUGGUGAGCAUAUUCAGUUGUUUUUCGAAUUUAUCAGAAGUAGAAGAGUCGGAGAGGACUUCAUCAAGCUGGAGGGCCUGAUUAUCUUCUGAAGAAAUUGAAACAGUUUCUUCAGAAUCAGAAGACUCAAGUAAAAGGGCUUCAAGUUUACACAAAGUUGCUUCUUCAAGUUGGAGCUCAUGGAUUCUCCUGUUGAGCUUGCAAUAUUUUGCAAUGUGACCUUUCUUGCCACAUCUAUAGCAAGUAACAUCUUUUUUGGGAGUAGAAUUGGGAUUAUAGGGUCUUUGAGAAGGUUUUUGGUACUUUCUGCUGUAAGACUUUCCUUUGGGAGGUCUGUCUUGGUAGUAGGUGGUUUUUUGUUUGGAAAAGUGUUUUUUGUGCUUGCGAUGUCUUCUGGUUUGACAGUCUGUGCAUGGCUUGAAAGUUGAAGAGGAAGAUGGUUUUUGGUAGGAAAUAUCAAAUUGUUGGUAGAAGGUUCCAAGUUCUUUUUUGGUUUUGUGGAGCUCCCAUUUGAGUUGUUUCUGUAGCUUAAGAUCUUGGCAAAUCUUCAAGCCUUCUUUCUGGGGGAAACUGAUGAGUUCUCCAUAAGUGAGCUGAUCAUAAAGAAUUUUUUCAUUGUUCUAUUCUUUGAUCUUAUUUCGAACCUUUUCUCCAAGGAGAGAGGGGAGGCCAGCAAGGAAUUUCUCCUUCCAAAAUGGUAGAUUAGAGUCUUCCCGAAGCAUAACUCUGGUAAAGAAAGUAUCCUUAUACCAUUUGAAGUCACUAAGCUUUUUACAUCGAAGAUUUGAAAGAAGCUCGGCAUUCUUGUCUUUGAGAUGCGAAGGAUCUCCGACAAAGUGAAGUGUCAAGGCUAAGAUGAGGGUGGCAACAACAUUUUGAAUUGGUCUGCCAUUUUCAUCAAGUAUCAGAUUUUGAUCUUCAUCAAGUUCAACAGACUUUAGAAUCUCAAGUUUCUGCUAGGCAGUGAGAUAGUAAUCCCACCAUCCUUUUAGUUGACUUGAGAGACCUGCUAUGAGAAGUUCUGCAAUAGCUUGAUCAGUGGUGCCUGUCUGGGUUCGAUAGGCAUUUGCUGGAAGAUAUUAAGGAUGUUGUACUCAGACAUUCCAUCUAUGUUCCAUUCAUAGACAGAGGAAGCAUUAUAACGGCUUUGAGAGAGGGCACUUGGCUUGUCUUCAAUGACAAUGUCUGAAGCAGUAGCUCUCGGAUAAUAGAGCUAUUGGGAGUUUUGCCAAUGGACUUUGUUGACUUCUAGGGAAGAAUUUUCUUGGAAAGCAUUUUCUUCAUCAGAAGAUUGUUUCAUAACAUUGAUAGAGGAUUCAGGGGUGUUCGAAAUAACAACAUUAGACUUAGUUGAAGUUCAGGAACCGAGUUGAUUCAGGCGAUCCUGAAUGGCUUGAAGGAAUUCUUCUUUGUUUCUCUGCUAGAACUGAGACAGAGAAGUCUUUGAUACCUCAAAGGGCUUGAAAACUGGGGCUUUUAUCUUUGAUCCCCCAGAUGAGGUAAUCACAGUGGGAUGCUGGAUUUGCUUUUGGAUAUCAUUCAACUAGUUCCCAAUAGUGUGAAGGUAAUUAUUGGUUCAAUUGUUUUGCUGGAUGAUGUUUUCAAGAUCUCUCUCAGCAUUUUUCUCGGACUUAACUUUAAAAGGUGAGGCUAUAAGGGUAGCUUUGUGGUGUUUAAAUUGGAGUUCUCUAAGGGGUGAAUGGACAGACUGAAUCCAUUUAUUCUUUGGAGUUUGCCAAGAAGGGAUUUCAGAGAGUGGAUUUAAGGACUUUGCCAGAAAAGGAUAUUCCAGAUUAUUCUCAGAAGCAUAAAUCUCAAACCAAUAAAAAAAAAAGUGUGCUUGCUGCUCAUGAAUAAAUGCAUAAAACUUUCCUUAGAUCUCAUGUCUCUGAUUCAAAAAGUGUUUGAAAAACCAAAGUUUUUUCUUAUGAUUAUGAGGAGCAUAAAAAUCAUUUUGAAGAUAUGCUUUAUCGACUUGAAAUUCCUUUUGAAAAACAUUUAUUUUAUCAUUUAUAUUCUCAGUCACAAAGGAAAAAGUUGGAAAUGUAGGUCUUGGUUGUUCUUUAAGAGUGGAAUAGACUGGUCUAGGUAUGGUAGUGGAAAAAUCAGCAGUUUGCAUUGAAGUUCUUGGUAUGUCAGAAGUUGAAUGUCUAGGUAAGUCAAAAAUUUAGUUGAAGUGUUCUUGGGUGGUUGGGAAGUUAACAACAGAAAGCGUUCGAGUAAUAGGUAAGUUUAUUACAGAAGGUAGGUUUGAAAUCCUUCCUAAAUUUAUAGUUUCAAAAGAAGAGGCAGUAUCAUAAGAGGGUCUCGAGUUUGUGAAUUUCCUAGUGAAGGAUAACUUUACUUUUCUGUUUGGGUAUUGGGCAAUUUGUCUAAGCUGUAUAUUUGGGCUUGGAGGAGAUAUUGGGCUCCUUCUAAGAUCCAAUCAUCUGAAAGGGAAACUUCAUUCCAUUUGAUAGAUCUAGGGACGACAGCAUUGGCUUUAGUGAGGUUAGUUUGUAGGAGGAGGGUUUCUCCUUUCUGACUGUGAAUAAGAACUUUAGAAGCAAAAGCAGUCAUCAUGGCUUUGUAAUGAACUUUAAAAAUCAAAGCAACAGGAAUAGAUCCAGGAAGCAUUUUAUAAUUAUGAGUUUUAAUUUGCAAAAUAAGACUAUCAAGCAAAUUUCUAUCAUUUAAAGAAACAGUUAAGUUUGGAUAACAUUCAAAAGAAAUUGGACUAGUGCAAAGACUAGACUCAACAGAACUAAGCAAAGAAUCUUAGAAGUCAUAGAAGCGAGCAUCUCUUAGAACAGCUAAGAUGGAAGUGUUCAGACCUUCUUUCGUUAAGGGCUUGAUUCCUACCUGAACUAACCCUAUAUGGACAUAGUUGUAACCUUUGGCUUUGUGUUUAUUUAAGGAAGCAGAAGUUAAAAGCCUAAUGAUUUCAAAAGGCUUUGUGAUUGGAAUAUCUCUUUCUUCAGUUUUAAUGGUAUAAUCAGUUUUGGUAAGGAAGUUAAACUUGCUUUGUUUAUAGAUCUGAUCUUUUUGGACUUUAGGAAGUUCCCAAUUAUCUAUUGCUUUUUCAAAGUCUUGAAUAAUUAAUUCUUCACUGUUGACUAUCUUUUCUCCAGUCCCAGAGGUAAAAGAACUGGAAAUAGAUUAAUUUCUGCAAAAUACAUCCAUGAGUUGAAUAGUCUAAUUAAUACAUUCCCUACAAUAGGAUAUCUGGAUUUAUAGCCAAACCACUAGGACUUAUGACCAGCAACCUUAAAAGGACUCAGGAAUGCACUAAUCAAACACCCUAAACUCACAAAAAUAUUAGACAAUAAUCACUCUAUCCCCCAGGCUCUGAUACCAAUGACAUGCAGGAUCGAUGGGAUAUCCAACAGAGCUAAAAUUAAUAUAAAGAAGAAGAAGAA